Xenopus laevis (African clawed frog) is the source of this 4723-nucleotide RNA transcript. It is a transcript of the gene named ATPase, class VI, type 11C S homeolog, with no coding region annotated. The transcript is spliced from 32 exons. The record is from RefSeq and is a predicted model, not a curated record. NCBI's taxonomy places the organism in Eukaryota, Metazoa, Chordata, Amphibia, Anura, Pipidae.
UAGUUUUCGGUUGGUUUUGUAGCUGACUUUGGCUUGUUUUGAAAAUGAAAAAGCCCUCCUCACAACAAGCUGUCACGGAAGGAAGGUGAAGCCAGGCAGCAGCAGAGCAGUCCUGAGAGAAUUCCCUCAUAUUUCAGCUUGCCUUUAUCUCUCUCAGACGCUGCACUAUUUCCUACGGAGCCUGGGGAGGGACACAGUCACCAAAGUAAACACUCUCCUGUCCAAGACCUAUGGGAUAGGUAGAGAUAUGGCGCCCUCCCCUCAAGGGGCGGAGAGGAGGGGCUGCCAGCUGGAGAGAGAGAGAGGCGGGCCGGAUGAUUGCACGGCGCAGGGUUUAGCGCCGGGUUUAUUCUUCGUUUCCCAGCAGGGAGCGCACAUGCCUGGCACAGGGCGACACUUUGGACUUGGCUGCAACAGGCAAGGGGGAGACAGGGAUCAACUGCUGAAGUGGGAGGAAGAGCAGUGUUCGCUGCAACUGGCAAGAGAAGAUCUAUUGAGCUCCUGGUGCAGUGCCAAGGGCCCCUGGUGCACACAACUGUCACACGCAACUGUCACAAGGUGGUUUGACCUGACCAGCGCAUCCUCGCCCCCUGCCUGCGGGUGAAAUGUGACGGCUGUGCUGCUGCACCACAAUGUUCCGCCUGGGCCGCAGUUGGCUGUGUCCUCGUGAAGAAAGCCGCUUCGGAACUCGCACUGUGUAUGUUGGACCUCGACCAGCUUCAGAUAACGAUGCCUAUAUCCAUCCGAAAUUCUGUAAUAAUAGGAUUGUCUCUUCAAAGUAUACUGUAUGGAACUUUAUCCCCAAAAACCUGUUUGAGCAGUUUAGAAGAAUUGCAAAUUUUUACUUCCUCAUCAUCUUUCUUAUUCAGGCUAUUGUAGAUACACCAACAAGCCCAGUAACCAGUGGCCUUCCUCUAUUUUUUGUUAUUAUCGUCACAGCCAUUAAACAGGGCUAUGAAGACUGGUUGCGGCAUCGUACGGAUCAUGAAGUCAAUAACAGCACUGUCUAUGUUAUUGAAGGUUCCAAAUGUGUCAAAAAGGAGAGCGAAAAAAUUAAGGUUGGCGACAUAGUUGAAGUCAGUGACAAUGAGACUUUCCCAUGUGAUCUAGUCAUAUUGUCUACAAGCUGCCGUGAUGGGACCUGUACAGUUACAACAGCAAGCCUUGAUGGAGAGUCCAACUUUAAGACCUAUCAUGCUGUGCCAGAAACUGCUAUCUUGUGCUCUUAUGAAGGCCUCAAUGCUCUUUCAGCCACCAUUGAAUGUGAACAGCCUCAGCCUGAUUUAUACAAGUUUCAUGGAAGAAUAGACGUGAACACUAACCAGGAAAUCAAAGCAAGGUCUUUGGGUCCUGAAAAUUUGCUGCUUAAAGGAGCGACUUUAAAAAAUACAAAGACCAUCUACGGUGUUGCUAUAUAUACUGGCAUGGAAACCAAAAUGGCACUCAACUACCAAGGAAAGUCCCAAAAACGUUCAGCUGUUGAGAAAUCCAUAAAUGCCUUUUUAAUAGUAUAUUUAUGUAUACUGGUCUCCAAAGCAACCAUCUGCACUUCUUUGAAGUACCUGUGGCAGAACAGUUUAGCCAAUGAUGAAUCAUGGUACAACGAAAAAACACUCAAGGAAAAGCAGGCCUUCAAGAUUUUGAAGAUGUUCACAGACUUCCUCUCCUUCAUGGUGCUUUUUAACUUCAUCAUCCCAGUAUCCAUGUAUGUUACUGUAGAAAUGCAGAAAUUCCUAGGAUCCUUUUUCAUUGCUUGGGAUAUGGAAAUGUUUGACGAGGAAAUAAACGAAGGAGCUUUGGUUAACACAUCUGACCUUAAUGAAGAACUUGGCCAGGUAGAGUAUGUAUUUACAGAUAAGACUGGGACACUCACAGAAAAUAAAAUGGAGUUCAUUGAGUGUUGCAUUGAUGGCCACAAAUAUGCAAAUACAGAUGCAAUGGAUGGGUUGUCUUUGACCGAUGGUUCAGUUUAUUUUGGUAAAGCUAACCAGGACCUGGAAGAGUUAUUUUUAAGGGCUCUUUGCCUGUGCCACACAGUGCAGAUGAAGGAAGAGUGUCAAACUGACGGGCCAAGUUUUUCAUCUCUAGAUAAUUGUGCUUACGUCUCCUCAUCUCCUGAUGAAAUUGCCCUGGUGACUGGAGCCAAGAGGUAUGGGUUUACAUACUUGGGAACUGAAAAUAAUUUCAUGAGUGUUAAGAACCAGAAAGAUGAAAUAGAAAGGUUCCAGCUGCUGCAUGUGUUACAUUUUGAUCCAGUGAGACGGCGCAUGAGUGUUCUGGUUAAAGACAAUACAGGUAAAAUAUUCCUCUUCUGUAAAGGAGCAGAUAGUUCAAUGUUUCCCAGGGUGGCACGUGAUCAAGUGGAGAGAAUUAAGGUUCAUGUUGAAAAAAAUGCCCUGGAUGGAUAUAGAACUCUUUGCGUGGCAUUUAAAGAGAUCAGCCAGGAGUUGUAUAACAAUAUUAACAAACAGCUGGAGGAGGCAAAAUUAGCAUUGCAGGAUAGAGAAGAACGGCUGGCCAAAGUGUUUGAUGACAUAGAAGCUGAUAUGCACCUUCUUGGAGCAACAGCUGUGGAAGACAGGCUGCAGGAGCAGACGGCAGAGACUAUAGAGGCAUUACAUGCAGCUGGAAUGAAGGUUUGGGUGUUGACAGGAGAUAAACUGGAGACAGCAAAAUCUACCUGCUAUGCCUGUCGGCUUUUCCAGAGCAACACUGAACUAAUAGAACUGACCACAAAAGAUUUGGAAGAGUAUGAAAGGAAAGAGGACCGCCUGCAAGAGCUGCUUAUGGAAUAUCACAGAAAAUUGGUGCAAGAGACUUCCAAGCUGAAAGGGGGAGCUAACAGGAACUGGACUGGAAACCAGGACCAUGGUUUGAUUAUUGAUGGCGCCACAUUGUCUCUUAUAUUAAACUCCAACUGCAGUUCCAGCCAUUAUAAAAAUAUCUUCCUUCAGAUCUGCCAGAAAUGCUCUGCAGUCUUAUGCUGCCGGAUGGCUCCACUGCAGAAAGCACAGAUUGUUAAAAUGGUGAAGAACACAAAGGGGAGCCCGAUAACCUUAUCUGUGGGGGAUGGUGCAAAUGACGUCAGCAUGAUUUUGGAAGCACACGUUGGCAUAGGCAUAAAAGGAAAAGAAGGACGCCAAGCAGCACGCAGUAGUGACUAUGCUGUGCCAAAAUUUAAACAUUUAAGAAAACUUCUUUUAGCUCAUGGGCAUUUGUAUUAUGUAAGGAUAGCGCACCUUGUACAGUAUUUCUUUUAUAAGAACCUGUGCUUCAUUUUGCCACAGUUUUUAUACCAGUUCUUUUGUGGCUUUUCACAACAGCCACUUUAUGAUGCUGCAUACCUGACAAUGUACAACAUUUGUUUCACCUCUCUGCCAAUCUUGGCAUACAGCUUAUUGGAGCAGCACAUUAAUAUAGAAAUCUUAUCCUCAAAUCCUAAAUUAUAUAUGAGGAUAUCUGACAAUGCCAUGCUGCAGUGGGGUCCUUUCCUAUACUGGACAUUACUGGGGGCAUUUGAAGGACUAGUAUUUUUCUUUGGGCUUUACUUUCUCUUUCAGAAUCCAGCUCUGGAAGGCAAUGGUCAGGUAUUUGGAAACUGGUCGUUUGGAACAACGGUCUUCACUACAUUAGUGUUGACAGUUACAUUAAAGCUUGCGUUGGAUACUCGAUACUGGACAUGGAUGAACCAUUUGGUUAUAUGGGGCUCAUUAGCAUUCUAUGUUAUUUUCUCACUUUUUUGGGGAGGAAUUAUUUGGCCAUUCCUCAAACAGCAGAGAAUGUACUUUGUAUUUUCUCACAUCCUGACAUCUGUGUCAAUCUGGUUUGGGAUAAUUCUACUGAUUUUUGUCAGUCUAUUCCCAGAGAUUAUUUUGAUAUUUAUUAAGAAUCUUAAAACUGUGGUCCAAAAGGUAACCAAAAUCAUCCCUUCCUCAGGAACAUCAACUAUCGUCAUGCUCUUUCAAACCUCCAGCAAUCAGUUUCCCAUGGAAUGAUUAAGAAGAAAAUGAGCACCAAAACAGAUGAUUCAAAAUCUACACAAUCGACUGUCAGGCCUCUACUAUUGUGAACAUUCUCUGAUGAGUCUAAUGUAAUAUGAGAGGAUCUCAUAUCAGCCUCCAGUGCUAGUUUCCUACAAGAGUAUGGAGAAUGGAUUCAUUUCAAGAAUGAAAACUGAGGAUUAUAAAUUUAAAACCUUACUAUAAACUUCAGAUCAUUAUUAUAAAUGAUCUGUAAAUUUGACACUGUCCAAAUUCUACCACUAUAUACACAGUGACGGAUACCGUGAUAUUGGACAAUACUGUGGAAAUCAAAGAGUGCCAAACCUGCUCUGUUUAGAACCUAACCUGUCUGCAUUGCCAUUUGCAUGGGAAUGGGGCAUACAGACUGCAAGUCAGGAUCAGAUUGCGUUAAGCAACUUCUUCAGUGCAGUUAUGGCAUGCGUUGUACACCAGUCAUUCAGCAGGAGCCUACAGCGUGCCCAGCUAAUGCUGCACUGUAUGUUACACACCUAAAAGGUCAGCAGAUUCACCCACCUUACUAGCUCCCAGCUCACAAAUGUCUAUCUACUAAAAUCAACAACUAAUCUGCCCAGUUUCUUUCAAUUCAUUUCAAAUAUAAAUUUUAAUUGUUUUUUUUCCUUAAUGAAUAUUGCUGCAAAAUAUUUCUUAAACAUUUUCAAGUAUUUUUUCAAUUGGGGAAUUAAGAAAAUACAUUCCUGUCU